RNAcentral lists this ribosomal RNA (450 nucleotides) under uncultured archaeon. RNAcentral's name for it is "bacterial SSU rRNA". It matches the Rfam family "Archaeal small subunit ribosomal RNA", at positions 1002 to 1445 of the family's 1478-position model. The record is from RNAcentral.
CCCCAGCUUCGUGCCGUGAGAUGUCCUGUUAAGUCAGGUAACGAGCGAGAUCCCCUGCCCGCUAGUUGCUAUCAUUAUUNUCAGGAAUAGUGGGGCGAAUUAGUGGGACUGCCCGUUGUUAAAACGGAGGAAGGAAGGGGUUACGGCAGGUCAGUAUGCCCCCGAAACUCUNGGGGCCACACGCGGGCUGCAAUGGUAGUGACAAUGAGUUCCAAACUCGAAAGAGAGUGGCAAUCUCUAAACGCUACCACAGUUAUGACUGAGGGCUGUAACUCGCCCUCACGAAUAUGGAAUCCCUAGUAACCGCGUGUCAUUACCGCGCGGUGAAUACGUCCCUGCUCCUUGCACACACCGCCCGUCGUUUCAUCGAAGUUUGCUUUUAGCGAGGUGAUGUUUAAUUGGCAUUAUCGAACUUGAGGUAAGCGACGAGGGAAAAGUCGUAACAAGGUA